RNAcentral lists this long non-coding RNA (2726 nucleotides) under Lynx pardinus (Iberian lynx). Lineage: Eukaryota; Metazoa; Chordata; Mammalia; Carnivora; Felidae. The record is from RNAcentral.
UACCUGGUCCAAAAACUACAGAAACAGAGCCAGCAGAUUGCACAGGACGAGCUCCGGGUGCGACGGUACCGAGAGGAGACCACCCGCAUCCGCCAGGAGAUCCAGGAGCUCAAGGCGAGGUACUUGGCGACUAGAUAUGUGGAGGGGGGAUAAUCUUGUUCUUCACUGGGUGUCAUUAAAUACUUUUCAUAGAGGAUUGUAUGAAAAUAUGUUCAAACUUUGCAUUUUUGAAGAUCUGUUUUAAUGGAAGAAUUCCAAAGAAUGGUUUAUUCCAUAGAUCGUUAUUUAUUAGGUUUUUGGAGGAUGUUAACUUGCAGCAGGUGUUUUUCUUUUUAUGAGUCUGUAUUUUUUUCUAAAGACACAUUUUUUUUUUUUUUUUUUUUUUUAAGAGAGGGAAAGGGAGACAGGGCGAGAGCAGGGGAGGGCUGUGAGAUCAUGACCUGAGCUAAAAUCAGGAGUCAGAUGGCAAGCACUGAUCUUUUUUUUUUUUUUAAUUUUUUUUUUUUCAACGUUUAUUUAUUUUUGGGACAGAGAGAGACAGAGCAUGAACGGGGGAGGGGCAGAGAGAGAGGGAGACACAGAAUCGGAAGCAGGCUCCAGGCUCUGAGCCAUCAGCCCAGAGCCUGACGCGGGGCUCGAACUCACGGACUGCGAGAUCGUGACCUGGCUGAAGUCAGACGCUUAACCGACUGCGCCACCCAGGCGCCCCNUUUUUUUUUUUUUUUUAAUUUUUUUUUUUUCAACGUUUAUUUAUUUUUGGGACAGAGAGAGACAGAGCAUGAACGGGGGAGGGGCAGAGAGAGAGGGAGACACAGAAUCGGAAGCAGGCUCCAGGCUCUGAGCCAUCAGCCCAGAGCCUGACGCGGGGCUCGAACUCACGGACUGCGAGAUCGUGACCUGGCUGAAGUCAGACGCUUAACCGACUGCGCCACCCAGGCGCCCCAGCAAGCACUGAUCUUAACACAGACAGAAAAAAGCCCUGCCAUGUGGAGCUUACAACAUAGAGGUAGGCAGGCGCUGAAUACAUUCAACAAAAUAUUACAGUAUGUCAGAUGGUGAUAAGGUCUAAGGAGAAAACUAGUUUAAGAAGGGGAGUGGGGUGCUGUGUGUGUGUGUGUGUGUGUGUGUGUGCACGCUCGUUUAUAAGGUGGCCAGGAAAGUCCUCACUGGAAGGAUCAUGUCUAAGUAAAGAUCUGAAAGGUACAAGUUCCCCAGCUGUGGAACGAAUGUCACGGGGAUGAAAGGUACAGCACAGGGAACGUAGUCAGUGUGGUAAUGGUGCUGUGUGGUGACAGAUGGUAGGUACACUUGUGGUGAGCGUAUAGCGCAACACACAGACUUGUCAGUCACCAUGUUGUACACCCAAAAAUAAUGUAACGUAUGUUAAUUAUACUUCAAUUAAAAACAACAACAAAAAAACGGCGCCUGGGUAGCUCACUCGGAUUGUGUCCGACUUCAGCUCAGGUCAUGAUCUCAAGGUUCACGGGUUUGAGUCCCGUGUCAGGCUCGCUGCUGUCAGCUCGGAGCCUGCUUCGGAUCCUCUGUCCCCUUCUCUCCCCGCCCCUCCCCCACUUGUGUGUGUGUGCUCCCUCUGUCUCAAAAAUAAACAAACGUGAAAAAUUUUUAAAAACCGUGAAAGACAAUUUAGUGGUGGUUGUGAAAACUGAACCGGUUAGCCGGACUUGCUGGAAGCACGCUGAGACUCUGCAGGCCCGGGCGGCAUCCUCAUUUCACUCCCUUUUGGUGGUUAAGAGCAAGACCUUGUAGUCCCUCGACAGGGACCCCUCAUCGACUCCAGCCACCUUCUCUCUGCACCCGGCUCUUGGCUCUGCCCCCACUCUUUGCCACUCCUUUCUGGUCUCCCUUGCCUGCAGUCCGAAGAUUUUCCAGAAGACCAAGUGCAGCAUCUGUAACAGUGCCUUGGAGCUGCCCUCCGUCCACUUUCUCUGCGGCCACUCCUUCCACCAGCACUGCUUUGAGAGUUACUCGGAAAGUGAUGCCGACUGCCCCACCUGCCUCCCUGAAAACCGGAAGGUCAUGGAUAUGAUCCGGGCCCAGGAACAGAAACGCGAUCUCCAUGAUCAGUUCCAGCACCAGGUGGGCAUGAGUGGGUAGAUGACUGCCCCACUCACGGAGAGUCACCGGAGCAUUCGCUUCUUUUCUUUCCUCCUCCUCAGGACAGGACACCUGCAGUUCUGAUUCUUCUCUCCUCUUUCCCUGCAGCUCAAGUGCUCCAACGAUAGCUUCUCUGUGAUUGCUGACUACUUCGGCCGAGGGGUUUUCAACAAAUUGACUCUGCUGACCGACCCUCCCACGGCCAGGCUGACUGCAAGCCUGGAGGCUGGGCUGCAGCGGGACUUGCUCAUGCACUCCAGGAGGGGCACUUAAACAGCUCAGGGGAAGGGGUGUGAUAGUGGAGGCACAGUAGUAGGGACAUGGGGGACAGAGGCAGGGCUGUUGCACAGGAGUCAGGCAGACAUGCCCAGGACUCCACCCUGAUCUGAUGCCAUAGCCCUCAGGACUAAAGAGGACUUUUUCUCCCUUCUUUGGCCAGCCCGCCAUUCCUCCUGUUGACUUUUUGAGCAGUGUGGAUCAUUCCAGACCAGCGGGGGAGGGUACCUCAGCAACCUCUGAGUGUGGACAAUAGCUGCUUUGUUCUCUAUCCAAGGGCACCAGGCUGUGCUUGGGUCCUUGCUCCCAGAGUCUAUAAAUAAAAGAAUAUAAUG